Molecule: ribosomal RNA, 305 nt
Filed under: uncultured bacterium
Lineage: Bacteria
Description: bacterial SSU rRNA
Rfam family: Bacterial small subunit ribosomal RNA
Source: RNAcentral
CCUACGGGACGCAGCAGUGGGGAAUAUUUCACAAUUUUUUACACCCUGAUGCAGCGACGCCGCGUGGGUGAAGAAGUAUCUCGGUACGUAAAGCUCUAUCAGCAGGGAAGAAAAAAAGUCUUUGGCUUUGGACGGUACCUGACUAAGAAGCCCCGGCUAACUACGUGCCAGCAGCCGCGGUAAUACGUAGGGGGCAAGCGUUAUCCGGAUUUACUGGGUGUAAAGGGAGCGUAGACGGCAGUGCAAGUCUGGAGUGAAAUGCCGGGGCUCAACCCCGGAACUGCUUUGGAAACUGUGCAGCUAGA